RNAcentral lists this ribosomal RNA (240 nucleotides) under uncultured bacterium. RNAcentral describes it as "partial 16S ribosomal RNA". It matches the Rfam family "Bacterial small subunit ribosomal RNA", at positions 15 to 244 of the family's 1533-position model. The record is from RNAcentral.
GAUCAUGGCUCAGGAUGAACGCUAGCUACAGGCUUAACACAUGCAAGUCGAGGGGAAACGAUAUUGGAAGCUUGCUUCCGAUAGGCGUCGACCGGCGCACGGGUGGGUAACGCGUAUCCAACCUGCCCAUCACUUGGGAAUAACCUUGCGAAAGUAAGACUAAUGCCCAAUGACAUUUAUAGAAGGCAUCCGAAAUGAAUUAAAGAUUUAUCGGUGAUGGAUGGGGAUGCGUCUGAUUAG